GGGAAAGCCUGUGCUCGGAGGUUCUGCCCUUGACUGUGAGAGCGUCCCCAGCACGCUGACCAGCAUUCCCGGACUGGGGCUGCCUCAGAGGACACAUCAAUGACUCCAGCCAUUUUGCGGCCUCUCAUUUUUGGAAAGUGUUUCUUCAGUGUAAGCAGAGCCUGCUUUCUAGGCAUGUCUGAGCGCCCACCUCAUGGCCCUAUAAUCCUCACUAUCCUGGAACUUGCGGCGGGCCGGUGCACGAGGAGGAGCAGGGCAGAGAGACGCAACGGCUCCACCACCCACAACAUGUCCACGAGAAGACGCAUCUCGACACCCGUGAAUCUGGGCUCCGAGCCCCCUGGAUUGGGGAGACACAGUGUGGCUCCUGGUUAGUGGCAUUUGGCAAUGAUUACACAAAUAUUCAAAAGGCUUCCGAGGGUUCAUUCUCAACCUCCUUGCCCCAAUCCUAUUUUUCCUACAACGUCUUAAAUUUCUGAAACCCCAGCCCUCCUACACUGGAAGUUUUCCUCCUGCCUGAAGAGAGCCUACUAUGUACGUGAUGUGCUCCUGGUGGGCCGAAACUGUGCUUUUCCAUCUCUGGAAUCCCUAGCAGGCUAAGCCUGGAAUGGGCAAACAGUAAGUGCUCAAUAAAUACCUACCGUGUGAUGAACAUUUCAUAGUUUUGGCUCCCCCGGUUGUGUGACAAUUCUGAGACUCACACUGAAAAGUGGCAGGAGAAAGCAAUUGGGCCCCAGUUUCUGCCAAGACGAGGUUGUGCACGAGGCCUGUCCCAGCGUGGGGAGGUCUGUAGGCUGGAGAGGAGCCUGUCAGGAUGUGCCCAAAGUCGCUGCAUUUUUCCUGGGUGGCAGAGCUGGAGGAUGAUGGAGGUGGGGGUGGGGGAAGCCCAUCACGAGCAGGACUACGAAAAUAAAGAGCGACCUCGCCUGUCGUGGACCAAGCUGACCCCCUAUGAGAUACAAAGAUGGCUCAGGGCCUGCCUGGGAACAAUUCCCUUGGUGUGGACCGCAAACUUGGAGGAAAACGGAAGAGCAGAACAAUUUCCCAUUCACGAAGAGAAUGAGGAGCCAAGUAUCUUUUCAGUGAGUCAGCUGUAGGCAAAGGGAUUUAUUUAUAAUAUUAUUAUUUGGUAGAAAAGAACUUACUAUGGCUGAAUGUAAAAAGUAUUUUUUGAUAAGUUAAAGAGAUUAAGAAAAAUCGGGCCGAUUUUGACAGAGAAUGGUGUGUAAACGAGAAGUGUUAUCAGUGAGAAUCUGGCACCAGCUCCAUUUUGUGAUGGUGAAAAAUAUCAGUAUUAUUUACUAAGAAGAUUAGGGUUGAAUUGGAAGAGAGGCUGGUUGUUGUGUGCAGAUGGAGAUAAGAUAAGGAUUUUACCUUCUCUGCAGAGCCAAAUGCAGCGCACACAGCGCUGUUAUCUCGGGGCUGGCAAGCAGGGGGAUAUUAAGAUGUACGUUGUAAUUACCAGUGGCAGGAGCAAAUUUCAUAGCGACUAUUUUAAACCCUAAUAAAACGCCGGCCUUUAAUUAUACAGCUUUGAAAUAUUUUUCUCAGUUAAUUGCAACGGGGGAAAAUAAAAUCAACCUCAUAUUUGAAACUGACUCUCACAGGGAAAGCCCUCGGCCUGGCGCUCCGGCUGCCUCUGAGCACCAUGCCAUGGGUGGAGAGCUGCCUUGGUGCCGAGUUUCCAGGCUCCGCCGACGCCCUCCCUCACUACCCACACCCCAGCCUUGUAUGGGGGGGACACCAUAAGAAAGGGUGAAGUCUUUCCGUGUGGAAUUAGACACCCCCCAAAAGCCACAAGGUCAUUUCUUCUGGAAAUGAAAUCUGAUUUCUAGAAGCCGGAGGCAGGUGGGAUUCAGGAGAAAAGAAGGGAGGGCUCGAGCGGACAGGGUGGGGUCUCUACCCGCAGAGGCAGCAGCCUUGGACGGUUGGACCCUCCUCCACCUCCCCAGGGGGCAUACUGAGCCUGUCGCCCAUCUUGGUCCACACCUCUCCGACUUUCAGGUUCUUAGAUCAUAGUUUCAUGUCAUUAACGCCUCCCUCUCCUUUGCCCCACACUAAUAAAAAUAAUAAUAGCAGUUGUCCUCGUCCUUGGAAUACCUCCUGUACGCGCCAGGCACUGCCCUAAGCCUUUUGCAUCCACAUAAACUUCUGAGCAAGAGGCAGGUUCCUCUAGUAUUUACAUUUUUGCCUACAUUUUAGAGUACUGUUACCGAGGUCCAGAGAAGCAGUCAGUGUCCAGGAUCGCCCCCAGGGUUGCCAUCCAGGUCCACUUGACCGCAGAGCCCUGCUCACCGCCCUCAGGUAAACUCACCUCUCCUUCAGCCCUCUCCUUUUCUCGGCUCAUCAACCCCUUCCUCUGACUCCCCGCCCCCAUCCCCUUCCGGGCACUGCGCCAACUCCACGCCCCUGCUGGGAAAUUUCAGAGACCCCUCAAUGCCCGCAGGACGGCGGUCAAACAUCGCGCCUGCCCCUCAGGCCUUCCUCAGUGUGGUCCUGAUAACCUUUCUUCACGCAUCAUCCACUUCUUUCUCACAAGAACCUUCUAGUCCCAGAAGGUUGACCUACUGCUGGAAGCUUCUCACCACUCAGCUCUUCUUCAAAGCCCAGUUCAAACUGCUCUGCUUCCUCAAGCCUGCCCCGGCUCGGCCCCGUGCAAGCCCCCUCUGUGCGCCAGUCCGUGGUCUGACCCGCUUUCCCUACUUGCCUUCUCGCAUUACUGAGAACGUCAGCUCCCGAGCGCAGACGGUGGCUCUGCUUUGCUCCUACUGUAUGCCCACUUGCACACGCACCGUUCGUCUGAGGCCCUGCUAUCAUUUGCUCAGUAAUAAUCGUCAGUUAUCCUUCAGUAUAUUUUGUUCUGUUUCACCUGGUGGCUUAUAAAUGUCCUGCUGGCAGGAACUAUAAUGUGAAUUCCUUUCACAAUCCCAGCCUGGACUUGCCAGAGGUGCCCUUAAUAGGAAAGGUGCUUGUUUUGCAUCUGGGUCCCAUGAAGUGAAAAAACCUGUGGGCAGGAGGCCAAGAGAUGUCACAUCCUUAACUAGUUUGUAUCCCCUUUCAUCACAUAACCCUAAUCUCGUCACAUGUAAAAUGGGGCCAGUAACAGCUACCCUGUAGAGGCUGGGGUGCCCAGAUCCAAUGACUAUAUGGGCUGAGAAAGACUUGGCCAGGAAGCCCACAAGCAAGGCUACCUGUCCUGUUACUAAUGUAACUGUGUAACUUAUAUAACCAUGUAACAUGACUAUGACUACCUCUUUUCCCAGCGGCUGCCAGAUGCUUUAAAGUCCAUUUUGCUGGCUGGCACCAAAAAGAAAAUCUCUCCCCCUCCUCCACUGGCACCUGGGCCCUGGCUGCACAUAGUGCUGUGGGUAGAAAGAGGGUACAACACCAGGGAACCAUGGCCUGAGCUCUGGAGGAAGUGGGAGGGUCCUCCCAGAAUCCUCCCUGGGGCUGGGGUGAGGCAGGGAGAGUCGGGUACGGGGAAUCUCUCCUCAGAGGAAGGAGACGGUCCAAUCAGAUACUCAGCUGUUUGGACCAUUUCUCAUUCAGGGCAAGGGUUGGAGGCAGCCCGUCCUCACAACGAAGGGAGAAUUUAUCAAAGCCACCAAAGGGACCCAUUAGUUUGCCUUUUGGCUGCCAAACUGUUAUUUACAGGAGAAAAUUGCCUUCAGGUAGAGCACAGACGGUGGGAUGUCCUGGGUUCCUAUGGUCCUUCUCCCCAAACUCCUGGCCAUGCUCCUCGGGCAGGGUGUAAAAGGAAUGUUUACAAAGCAAAUCCUACUUCUCCAUUAAGUCACACCUUAUCGUCUCAGAGUUCUUCUAUUUAAUGUCUUAUGGAGCCUCUCUGACCUCACAGCUCCAACCUUUCUGUCAGAUACUUUGUGAUCCAAAAAUAGAUAACGGUCUUAAAAGUACCAGGAGCCUCCUCCCCUCAGAAGGUUUUGGAAAGACUCUUUCCUACAGAAGGGAAGAAUUCUUUGGUCCACAAAUGUUUGUCACCAUCAGUAUAUAUGUUUAUCAGCUACUGGCUAAAUGUACCCAUUUGUAAAUUUCAAUUUUUUAUUACUGAUAACAGUAGCCAAUGCCAAUGGAAUUUUUUUUAUGUGCAAGGUACUGGGCUCGAGCUUCAUUUAAUCCUUGUAAAAGCCUCUGAUGUGGAUACUAUGAUUAUCCCCAUUUUACUGAUGAGAAAACAGAGGUUUAGAAAAGUAGCUAAGAGCGGACUGCUGAAUCCAGUCUCAUUCUAAAGCUGUGCUCUUAGCCACUGUGCUGUGCAGCUUCACCUGGGGCCAGCCUGCAUUAUUUGAGUGUGUGUGCACAACCAGGAGUAUUUGAUUACACAUAUUUAGUGCACACUCUUACAUGUGUGUGUUCCCUGCAAUCUCGCACGUCCCACUCUUACCGAUCCCGGCCCUCUCAACUGUAAUGACCAGGGCUUUGUGACUCCCCGGUUUGGGGAGGUCAGGGCCCACUCAGCCACACUGCCUGGCAGCAGCCCUUUAGCCAAAUAGCAGGAGCCAGCUGGCACGUGCUCUCUGUCACAGAGGUCGGAGAUUGCAUCCCAAGCAGGCAUCUGUCGUGGGCAGCUGCAGCUGGCCCUGGGGUUGCAGCCUUUGUGGGUGCUGGCUGGUGUUGGGGCUCUCACUGUUCGAGAAAUGAUUAAUACUCAGACACUAUCUUGAUAGCUUUAGGAGACACCCCUCCGUGGACCAGGAUGCUACUGGUUGAUAUAAAAUGAUAUAUUCUUUUCAAUCUAUUUCAUGGUGGCAGUAAUUCAGACAAGGAAAUGUCUUUGCCUUCUACUGGAGCUUUAUGCUGCUUAGAAAGAAAAAAAAAAUCACCAAAAAUGAUGAAGAGAAUUUUUCAGAGAACUUAAUACAUUAGCAACUGGGAGCUUAGAAAAUGAAACACUUUCUAAAUUUCCCUCCCUCCAGAACGGUAAUGAUUAUCUCUCCCUCUUCCAAAAGCCACGCAGCCCAGGGGAAGGAUGCUGAGAUAGAACACAGCCGGGGGAAGGUCUGAAAAUACGACGGGGUUUUUCUGAUUUUUCAUCCAGAAGCAGCUCCAUUUAUUGGUUUCCUUGAGCAAUGACCCAUUAUUUUUGCAGCCUGCUCCGAAGGGGUAGAAUACAUAAUUUGAAGCCAUAAACAAAAACUAACUUUUAGAUUGUGUUACAGCUUUGUUCCUCCCAUAGUCACAGUGUUCUUCAGUUGCUUUGUCCCUGCUACAGGAUACCACAACCAAAGCAGCCCUUUCAAACACCUGUUACUGCUGUGGCCUCCCUGCGCGCCGUUUUUGCCUUCCCUUGGCUGCAAACGACAAGCUGAGGCCAUUGGUAAUGGUAAUAUUUUAAGAGAUUCCCAAAACUUCUGAUUUUGUAGUGAACAGAAUUCAACAAAAUCUGAGCCACCCAUUUGCCAGGGGGAGUCUGUGGUCAGAUAUAAAUGGCCAGCAAGUAGCUAGUAGCUAGAAGGGUCUGAGACUUUGAGGGGAUUUGGUGACAGAGAAACUGUGAUCAGAGAACUAAGUCUGCGCAUUUACUGUAAGCUCUUGUAAAACAUUAUUUUUUAUCAAAGUUAUACAGGCACAUAGUUUAAAAGUAAAAAAUGUAAUUCUAUGGGGCUGACUCCCAACUCCCUUUUCACAUUCCCCAGAGGACACAAUUUCAAAUCUUUUAGCAGCUUCUUCCAUGAUUUACUUCCAUUUAUCUAAAUAACAUGCUUAUGCUGUUAUGUCUACAUUUUAGAAAUUACUAUUCCAAUUUUAGAUCCUGCCCACUAACUUCUGAAACAGGAAGCUGAGGUUGGGGCUCUCUUACAUCUCUUUUCCUCACCCCAUUCACACUUGCUCACUUCCCACCAACACUUUCUCUGCCCCCUGUGCUUACAACCUAGUUAGAUCAUAAUUUUUGAUGGGGUCAAUGUUUAGUGUUUACUAUGAUUAUGAAAAGAAUUACUUUCUGUGGAUCUAUAUGUAUUCUAUGGUUACAUUUCCUUUGUUAUCUUUACUUUCCUUGUUUUCAGUGGAGUUAAUAAUUGCCUCUCUUUUCCUUACUUUACUAUAUACUUAUCACUAAUUCAUCCCUAAAUGUUGUAAAUCUUGUCUUGAUAUGUUUAAUACAUUAGGAGUUUUAUUAGUUUUAUUUUUUCCCUGGACACUUUCGUCUCACAGCUCUCUGUCCUUCUGCUUCCAUCUGGACUGGGUAUUCCCUGGGCUGUUGUGCAGUUAUGGUGUUGGGAUCUUUUUUAUGAUUAUCUCAGUGAUUCCCUCAGCUUUUCUCUUGUACUGGAUUCCUUGUUUUUGGCAUCCAAUAUCUUCCUCUUUCUUGGUUUACACCUUCAGAAACUUCAUGGUAAAAAGAUAUGUAAGAUAAGGAGGAGGUGACUUUUUUGAGCUCUUAUAUGAAUGAAAAUGUCAUUAUUCUGCACUUACGCUUGAUUGAUAGUUUGGCUAGGUAUAGAAUUCUAGGGUAGAAAUAAUUUCCCUCCAGCUUUUUAAAGCCUUUCUCUACAUCCUGGGAUUGCCUACUGAUUCUGAAAAUAUUAAACCAGCCAAAUAACGUCAGUGAUUAGCAUAGUGAUAACCUACUGCUAGAUUUUAAGAACAAGGAGAGAAAAAUCAAAGGGUAGGAGAUCACCCUUUGGCAGGUAUAUAUUGAUUAUGAAAAUAGGAAUGGUAGCAUGAAUUUACCUUGUUCAAACUCCCUUCCUUGCUUAAUGACCUUCAAUGUCUCUCCCACUCUGUCUACAGAGUCAAGUUUAGUCUUCUCUAAACAGCCUUCCUAGCAAGCCUACUCUGGUCCAGUCCAGAUAAGUUAUUCUUCUUAUUAUCCCCUGCUCCCUUUUCCUCUUCACCAGCCAGGAAUUCUCUUCUCUGAAGGUUUCCCUCUUAACAACAAAUCCUACACAUUUUUAAGGCCUAUUUCAAAGCCCAUCUUCUCUGUGAUAUCUGGUUACACUGAUGCGCCAUACACUCUGGAUUGGCUCACUCACAUUCCUUCCAUUCUCUUUGUUGAUAGAGAGAUUAGAAAGAUGCAAACUACAUUUCUGAAAUUUUCUUGAAGCUAGUGUUCUGGAUUUGAAUUGGAUUCUGCCUAACGACAUACACUCACACAAGAUUUGGAAUGGAAUUGAAUUGAUUUGGAAUUUGAAAUUGAACAUUCACCAUAGCAUGUGAAGAACAAGAAAUGAAUGAGGCCAAAAGUAGAAGAAAAGUUUUCCUCCAAGCUGAUCCUCAAGGGAUCACUUUGUCACCCUUGAGGUUGACUACUGGGGUGAACCAGGAUCUACUUACUUCAUUCAUUUAGUCACUCAGUCCUGUUUGCUGAAUGAAGAAAGAAUUAAUGAUCACUAGAAAGUCAGUAGAGAUUUCAAGGACUGAGGUACUCAUUAAUCCCCUCCCCCAAAUAAAAAGAAAAGAAUGUUUCAGUAAACAGAUCUGUCCUGGGGAGUUCAGAGUCAUCACCUACAGUGGUGGCCACCGGGUUGACGGCAGACAUAGGGGUGGAUGGUUAAUUCACCUAGCUUAUCCAUCUACAGAGUCCCUGUUCAGUUCUGCCUGGCUGGAGGCAUUUUGUUUUGUUCCUUUUGGAAGCAAGUUUCUCUCCCCUCAAGCCUUCCUCACUUCAUCUGGUGUCCAGUUCAUUUUCCACUCACAAGUGUCAUGGGAAUAUCACUCUAUAACAGCAACACUUGUGUAUUCUCCCAAAUUGAGCUCUGUGAAGUCCCUCAUUGUUCUUUAGGGAACUCAUGCAUAUCCGCCAUUAUGUGACUUCUGAUACAGAGAAGAAAAGGAGAACUCUGUUGAGAGCAUUUGACAAGGCAAAGACAACAUGUUCCCAAGUCAGAUAAGUCAAUCUUACAGCUAUUCACAAGGAGUUCCUUAGAAAAUGGCAUAAAUCUAAAUACCACCUCAAAUUUUAUCUGUAAGGAAGCAAUAAAUAUAUGAUCAAAUCUAUAAAUAAAUGUUUCAAAACUACAUGCAGCAGUUAAUGAAAUAACCGCUAACAGUGCUCAUCAGGCAUCAUGGGGAACCAGAAGGGAUGGAGGAAAGGAGGGGACCAGAAGCAGAAGCAAUAACUGAGUUACAUUAAAAUGUACACACAUGAUUGAGCAGCUACUGUGUGCUGUUUUCAAGUACAUUGCCUCAUUUAAUCCAUAUCUUGUGACUCAUAUAUUAUCAACCCCAUUUUUCAAAAGAGAAAACUUAAGAGUCAGAGGAGUUAAGUAAUUUGUCCAAGGCCACACAGCUGGUAUCUGAGCUAGGAUUUGGACCCAAGCCGCUUGAUUUCAAGUCCUAGGCUCAGUUUCAGUUUUUGUGUACUUAUGUGGGUCCCGGAAUACAAACAGAUGGUGAGAACCAGGGAAGGAGUUGGAAGAGGCACGUGUCCCUUAAUGGUUUUCAGAUGAGUGCUAAGGGAAAGCUAAAGGGAUAAGAAUUGUUUAGCCUGGGAAAGGGAGUAUCUUACCGCUUGUGGUCAACUCUGUACUACAGGAACAUGGAUGGGAGUUAGAUGAGCAGAAGUGUCCUUUAUCCAGGAAGAGUUAUACGUAUUUCUUAGGAGUCCUUUGACCCUGGAAGAGAUUCUUUUCAGUCUGGAGUGAGUUAGGGAGGCUUCCAGAAACUUGGAGGCAGAGGGGGGCAUCAGUUUCCUUACCUAAGCUCAUCCAGAGCACCUCCAUUGUAACUAAUUAGGUCCAUUGGUUUUCCCCAUACAAAAUAGUUUGAAAAACCAGGGUGGGACUGCACAGCUUUGAAUCAACUGUCUCAUCAAGGUUUCGGUCAUUUUCUCACAUGUUCUUUCACUCAGUGGUGAGUAUUUAUUGCGUUCCAGUUAAAUACUCAGCUCUGUUCUUACCCCUAUAACUCAGAAAAGAAAAGAAGCUACUUAGGCUCUACCUCAAGAAGUUUACCAUCUUAGAGAAAAGACUGGAAACACACAAGUCAGUUAAGGAACAAAGCAGAGUAGAAAUGAUCAAGUGCCCAAAAGAAUGAUAUUGGCUAUACAAAUACCAUAUUGUAUUUAUUUUUAAAGUAAAUGGGGGGCUGGCCCCGUGGCCGAGUGGUUAAGUUCAUGUGCUCCGCUGCAGGCAGCCCAGUGUUUCGACGGAUCGAAUCCUGGGUGUGGACAUGGCACCGCUCAUCAAACCACGCUGAGGCAGCGUCCCACAUGCCACAACUAGACGGACCCACAACGAAGAAUACGCAACUAUGUACCCGGGGGCUUUGGGGAGAAAAAGGAAAAAAUAAAAUCUUUCAGAAAAAAAUAAAAAUUAAUUAAUUAAUUAAAUGGAAUGGUUAAAAUGGCAAAUUAUAUUUUAAAUAUGUAUAUAUUUUUUUAACAUACACACACAGUAAAUGGAAACUUAUCUCUUUCAUGGGAAAUGAAAUAGACAUUUUUAGUAGAGACCAAACUAGAAUCAUUGGUCCUCCUAAAACCAUCAUGGACAGUGGCGAUCUUGAUUUGGAGCCCCACAUUAUAUCUAACAUGUGUGUGUGUGUGUUUUCCACAUGAAACAUUUUUCACAAAAUGCUUGUUACACUUUUAAAAUUUUGCUUUGAAAGUUAUUUGGCUCAGAGUAACUCAUUGAAGUUAUAAUUGACGAUUGUUUUCGGGCAAGAUGAUACCCACCCAGGAAUUUGGGGAAGGGGCAAAAUCUAGUUUACAAAUUAUUUUCAAAUAUGAUAUUUUUGUGAAUAGGAUAAAUGACAAAAACAUGACAUAUUGUAGAUAUUUAAUCUAGCAAAUAUUAAUUUUUAUUUUCAGGUUUUCUUUUAGAAUCAAGAGCCAAUAUAUAUGUUUUCCAUAUGAUUGUUGAAAAGAAAACAUGUAGACCCUAGGAUUGUAUCCACGUGCCCAUGGAUAAAAACGACCUGGGUUUGGUAUGGAGGACAAAAAUAAGAGGAAUGCUCUAAUAAAUGUAAAUAUAAUAUGACAUGGAAGCUUCCUCUACUCAUUUUUUCUCAUCCACUGAGAGUCACACACAGCAAAAAAAGCACAGAAAGUAUGAAGAGUACUGAUUUCCACAGAAUUGGUUCUUCACCUCACGUUCUUGGAAUUACUUCUGUGUGGUGAUACUCAGAGGCAGGGGGAUGCACUUGGCGGCCACAGUGGAGCCUAUAAAGGUCAAAUGCCCAUAAGAAGCAAGGAUACCAAUGAAGAAGGACACACACCUUACUUGGUCAUUACCAAACACCCUGUAGUUUCCAGCAAAGUGACUGGGGACCCCUCUCCCACCCUUGUCCUCAACUCCUCGUCAGUUUUGGGUCCCUGUAAAUCAAACUAGUAUCUUCUAAAACUAGGUUUUAGAUGUACCUCAAUAGCACUUGCCAGCUGAAGUAUAUUUAGAAUACCUCACCUUUCUGUCUUGGAAUUACGUCCAAAAUGAAUGCCUCUGCUAGUCUUCGCACACUUUCAGGAAGACAGUGUGGCUACUCUCCACCGGGGCUGUGAGGCAGGUUGCUUCACAGUCCUUUCCAUUUAUUACAGGCAGGGACACGGAGAGAGGGGAAAACUGGGCUAUGCCAUGAGGCUCAAGGCUGCUUACUGUGCGGGCCCGGCUGUGCUUGGUUUGCAGACUGGAAGUAGGAUGACGUGAGCUGGUGUAGGAGAGAAAUAAAGGGCACAGUUCUACCCCAAGGGGGCUGUAUUUAGUUGGGGAGACAGAUGCAAUGAUUGAGUACAACCACAAGAGGUAAUAAGGAAGUCCUGGAUUGCAUGAUCGCCACUGCAAUUUAGAGAGGAGAGGGAUGGAGCCUCCGUAGAAAUUAUGGUAAUGGAACCAGGCCUGGUUCGCCCCCCUCAGGCAUGCUUGAGGCUGUUUAUCUACCCUGUUGAAUCACUCAGCUUUUCCAAGUUUCUAUCUCUUUAUGGACUCUUUCCUCUCUUCCCUCUCCCAGAAAUAUUGGCAAGCUUCUUUAGUCAUUUGUGUUUCUUUAGAUUAUCAAGGCCAGAGGUAUAUCUUCUCUGAUAGAUAAUGGCCCUCAGUUAAAACUAGCAAAAGCUAUUUUGCUUGAUGUAUUAGCGCCCUAUUUUAAAAUAAUCCUAUUUCCUUGAUUCUUUAGUAUUUACAAUUUUUGUAAGUACCGAUUAUAUUUUCUAAGUCAAAGUGGGGUAAAAUUAGUGCAUUGUAUCCUGUUGUUGCCGCUUUCUGGAGUAGUCAGUCUUACAUAUUUGAACAAUACCACCCCGGUGUAAUUUUAAAAGGUAAGAGCUUGAUUCUUUAAAAAACACUUAGCCGGGCAGUGUGAGCUCUCUCUGCGGACCCUCACAUUAGGAGUGUUUUACAUAUAUCACACAAAAGGAAAAAGCGUUCGGAGGGAAUCGGGGCUCAUCUGAGCUGAGAGCUGGACCUGCUGAAUUGUGGCAAAUGGGCCUGUUUCUGCCAGCUGCACACUGUCAGCCAGGUGACAUUUGAGUCCAUCUUCCAUUAAUGGGCUUGUGGUUUGGGGAGCGACUGGCACAGGCAUGUAAAAGUCAGGCCCCAUCAGAAGCAAUGACCCUCCUGCGUAGUCCCCAGAUAAUCAAGACUAUGCAUUUACCAUGAAGUUCCUGUCAACUCUGCAGCAGCCCACGUGGGCUUUGCACCUCACUGCUUUAGGUUUUCUAAAAUUCCUGAAAUAAAGAAUUAGUGAUACACUAGAGGGCAGUGGCUUUGGGUAUUCUGAUACUUGAGUGGAGAAAGAGAUGAGUGUGAGGUGGAAUAGUCAGGGAAGGCUUCCUGGAGGGGGAGGACUUCAGCAGAGGCUGGAAAGAUGACCAUGAUUUAGAUGGGCAGAGCAGAGGACAGAGACAGAACUUGACCUUGCGCUGAUGUGCUCGGAUCCCAAGCAUGGCCUUCACUUAGCUGUGGGAGGUCAUCCCUUUGGGAACUUAUUAGAUGCCAGCUCCUUGUCUGUUGUGCCAGACUGAUCAUUUUGCUGAGUGUUCAUCCAGGGUCAUGGACUCUGCCCCACCUCCUUUUAAAAUCUUUAAUUUUAAAAAACUCAUAAGAGCAUAGAGGAUAAUAUAAUGAAUGCCCAUGUCAUCCCAAACAGGCAAACAUUCUAUCAUAUCUACUCAGAUCUUUCUCUAAUGAGAUGACUUUUACAGAUAACGUAUUUUUCUAUGUCUUCCCCAGUUCCAUCCUCCCCAUGAGCAAUCAUUAUAACGAAUUCUGUUUGUAUCCAGUUAAUGUUUUUAUACUUUUGAAGUGUGUGCAUUUUUGUUGGCCUAGUCAAAGAUUAUUUUCCUUUAUUUUUUCUCAAGAAGUAGGUGCUGUAAGCAUCAGACUCUAAAAUGGGGAAUGGGCUGAGUGGAGGUGGUAGGAUGGAGGAGGCUGGGAAGGUGGGGGCCCUUGAUUUAUAACGUGUCCUCCAUUGUUCCUUGGGACAUAGACCACAUGCCUACUGAGGCUGUAGUAGGAGGAAGAAAUUCAGAAUCUUGGUGUGCUAGCUGCUUUUUAUGCUUUUGGUAAAGUCCUGCAAGAAACAGACGGCUAAAGGCAGUUCUCAAGCGGAGCAAACGGGGAGACUGAGCAAGAGAAAUGUGAAAGUGUCUUGCAUGUCCCAAGUCCUCUCCUGACAAACUGGGCCUUGGCACUUAAGACUGAAACAAUUACUUCAGACAGAGGCCAGUAGACUGAAGGACGGGGACCGGACAUGGCUUGGAGGCAACGGUUCUCAGAAUCAAAGAGUGUGUCCAGACAAGAUUUUGGCUUAGGAUUGUUAGCCCAUGGAACUCACUGGAAGCAAAUAGACAGGAAUCUGCUAAGGGAACUGUAUUGCCAAAGAAAUGCCAUGAUUACUGACAACAACCUGUGACUGGAUGUUCUGCCUCUCAGGUAAUUCCUCGGCUUCCGAACUCCUGCACUAAGUGUAAUGUGUUCUUAAAGCUGUGUUAAAGUUAUUCUCCCUAAUGUCCACCUCAGGUGUGGCCCUAAGGAUGAAAAACAGGGAGAUUCUCCAAGAGAGCAGAUUUGCCAGGUGAGGUGACAGAGGCUCUCACAACAUGCUCAGCAUGUGGAGUCCGGAAGACUAUGAUCUGUGUUGUGUACCGUGGACCAGUGAUUACCGUGUGUGUAUGCAUGUAUGUUUACCUUCUUUUUUCCUUUCCUGAAUAGGAGUUUUUAUUGCAUUUUGGAUAUUUCGGAGAUGGAUAAUAUAUUUUAGCCCUUUGUCACUGUACCAUAGUUGCAACUACCUGGACAUUACACAGAGCUCAGAUGCCACCACCUCCCUCCCCCAGUGGAUACUGGGAUAUGGCGUCUGCUUCCACCAUACUGAGACUUGAUUGACAAGAUUUACAUCACCCAGAGAUCCUGGACCUGGAUCUGGAUGCUGUAACUGAGUGACAUUUUGAGUUGUCUCUUUCUUGUGAGGGGGAUGAAUGCAUUUCAUGGGGGUAUGAGCAUUUUGUACACUGAAUGUAUGGGUAGGCAAUGGGAUGGACUGUGGGAGAUAUUAUUUCUUGCUGUGAAGGACUAACCAAUUGAUAGACAGCAUUCAUUCUGAUCUCCUUCUAGAAUACCUUCCUGUACUGCAGAGGCUGGGAGGUUAAAAAUUAAAUUUCCAGGAAUCUCUUGCAGUUAGGAUUCUGGAUGAUAUUAGGUUCUACCAAUUAUUUGCACUUAAUGCAAAAUUUAGAAGAUAGUAGUGUGGCGCACCCCUCUGCUUUGUUUUGGGCUCUUUUUCUGCUGGCAUGCAAAGUUGUGGAGAUGCCAUGGUCCAGUAUCUCUUAUGUGUGUGGAGUGAGUCUUUCAAAUAUUGAAAGAUAUUUGCAAAGGUAGGGACAGCUGGACUAUGUCUAAUGUCUAGGCGGUCGUGACUAUGGCAGUGGUUUACAAUAGAAGCUUCCUGGUUCCUGAAUCACAGCCAUGGCUGUGUGUUCUUGAACUCAGUAUUUCCCUGGUGGCCUCCUGAUGCCCUGCCUUCCUUUUUGUGCUAGAAGCAGCAGCGGCUGGACCAUGGUAUUCUAGGACUCAUUCUUAGAGCCUCAUUCCUUGGCCUGCUGCUCCAACCCUCUACAGAUUUCAUAAACAUCUAAUUCUCUGUGUCAAAUAUCUAGAGUGGAUUUUGUUUCCUAAUUCCUGACUGAUAUAACUACCUACACAUUAAACUUUCCUGCUUCUUCUUCACAGAGCCCUAAUUUUGUUCUGAUGUUCACCUUUUCCCCCACAUUGCUUGGUGAUCUAAGCCAGUCUUGACAAUUCCAUUUCCCGUGUAAUUGGUUUGGAAAAGAACACUGAUGCAAUUCUGGACAAGGAGGAGGUCCAGAGGGGAGGUCUGCUGGGUGGUCUGGUUAAGGCAUCUCUGCUUUAUGACAGAGACGUAUAAGACAGAAGUGGUCCUUCUCUUUCAUCGGAUGUUGUGUCUACAUGUGUGCCUGGGAUUGUGGUAGUCAUAUAGUGCUCAAGAGAGGAAUUAGUCUGAGGAGAACACAUUUAAGACUACUGAAUUAAACGACAGACAAGCCCAAGCCCUUGAUGACAUAUUUAAACUGCUGAAUUAAAAAUCUUAGGAAAUUAAGGUAUUGUGAAGUAUGCCCCAAUUCUAGACUUCUUGUUAUGUUGAGAUAAUAAAUCUCUUCAUCCCUGAAGCUAUUUUGAACUAGAGUUUCUGUUACUUGUGUUCAAAAGAGCCUAACUAACAGGGUAUCUAUAAAUAACUGUAUAUUUUACUACACAUAUGUAGCCAUAAACAACAUAUUUUGCGUUUUUUGAAAUUCACUUAAAUGAAAUCAUAUGGUUUGUAAUGUUACACAAUUCUUUUUUCCUCUACCUGUUUUCCUGAUCUAUCUACGUUGAUACCUUUAAAUACAGUCCGUCCAUUUUAACCCGUUUAUGGUAGUUUGUUGAAUAAAUAUAGCACAAUUUGUUUAUUCCUUUUCCUAUUAAUGGACAUGUAGAUUGCUUCGAAUUUUUUGCUAUUAUAAUGCUGGAAUGAAGCUUCUUCUAACAUCUCCUUGAGCACAUGUGCAGGGGUUUUUCUAGGAUAUUUAACUAAAGAUGGAUCUACCAGGGCAUAGAAUAUGCACAUUUCACAUUUUGCUAGAUAUUGCCAAGCUGCUCUCCUCAGUAGUUUUGCCGAUUUGCAUUCCCGUCAGCACUGUGUGAGAGUUCCUAGUUUCCAUGUCCUUUACAACAUUCAGAAUUUAUUUUCUUGUGUGUGUAAAAUGAUCUCUUUUUGUGAUUUUGAUUAACGCUCCGUGAUUAUAUUGAGGCUGAACCUUUCAAAAUGUGUUUUUAAGCUAUUCAGGUUUCUUCUUACAGGAGUCACGCAUUUUUCUAUUUGGUUAUUUGUAGUUCCUUAUUCUGAAUGGUAACCUUUGGAUUGUGACACACAAUGUAAAUAUCUUCUCCCAAUCUACUGCUUGGCUAUUAAUUUUUUUAUGGUGUCCUUUGUUUCACAAAGUUUUCCAUUUUAACAUGAAGUUUUUUCAGCCUUUUCCUUUAUGCUUUCUCAGGGUGGGUGUGUUUGUGGGUGUGUCUUCUAAAAAAAUCAUUCCUUACUUUGUGGUCGUAAAUUUAUUUUCUUCAAAUAGCUUUAAAGUUUUAUUUUUUUAAUUAAUAAACUUUAUUUUUUUAGAACAGUUUGAGGUUCACAGAAAAAUUGAACAGAAACUAUGGAGAGUUUCCAUAUACCUCCUGUCCCCACACAUGUACAACCUCCCCCGUUAUCAACAUCCUGCACCAGAUAAUGCCAUCUGUCCUCCACUGUAGUAUCAUACAGGACAGUUUCACUGCCCUAGAAACCCUCUGUGCUCUGCCCAUUCACCCCUCUCUCCCCAGUAACUACUGACAGCCACUAAUCUGUUUACUGUCUCCGUAGUUUUGCCUUUUCCAGAAUGUCUCAUGGUUGGAAUCAUAUAGUACGUAGCCUCUUCAGAUUGGCUUCUUCCACUUAGUAACAUGCAUUUAAAUUUCCUCCAUGCAAAGUCAUGACUAGAUAGCUCAGUUCUUUUUAGGGCUGAAUAACAUCCCAUUGUCUGGAUGCACUGUAAUUUAUUUAUCCGUUCAUCAACUGAAGGACAUCUUGAUUGCUUCCAUGUUUCAGCAAUUAUAAAUGAAACUGCAGGUUUAUAAUUAUAAAUAAAUGUGCAGGUUUUUGUAUGGACCUAAGUUUUCAGUUCAUUUGGGUAAAUAUUAAGGAGCACAAUUGCUGGAUCACAUGGUAAGAGAAUGUUGGUUUUGUAAGAGAUCAUCAAACUGUCUUUCCAAGUGGCUGUACCAUUUUGCAUUCCCACCAGCAAUGAAUGAGAAUUGCAGAUAUUCCAUACCCUUGUCAGCAUUUUUUGUUAUCAUUGCGUUGGAUUUUGGCCAUUCUAAUAGGUAUGUAAUAGUAUUUCAUUGUUUUAAUUUGCAAUUCCCUAAUGACAGAUGACGUUGAACAUCUUUAUAUGCUUUCUUGCC
Molecule: long non-coding RNA, 16388 nt
Filed under: Equus caballus (horse)
Lineage: Eukaryota; Metazoa; Chordata; Mammalia; Perissodactyla; Equidae
Description: lncRNA (ENSECAG00000058179.1)
Source: RNAcentral